RNAcentral lists this ribosomal RNA (402 nucleotides) under uncultured bacterium. Its description in RNAcentral is "bacterial SSU rRNA". It matches the Rfam family "Bacterial small subunit ribosomal RNA", at positions 917 to 1322 of the family's 1533-position model. The record is from RNAcentral.
GGGCCCGCACAAGCAGUGGAGCAUGUGGUUUAAUUCGAUGAUACGCGAGGAACCUUACCAGGGCUUAAAUGUAAGUUGCAUAGAUCAGAGAUGGUCUUUUCUUCGGACUACUUACAAGGUGCUGCAUGGUUGUCGUCAGCUCGUGCCGUGAGGUGUCAGGUUAAGUCCUAUAACGAGCGCAACCCCUGUCGUUAGUUACCAGCAGGUAAUGUUGGGUACUCUAGCGAGACUGCCGGUGCAAACCGUGAGGAAGGUGGGGAUGACGUCAAAUCAUCACGGCCCUUACGUCCUGGGCUACACACGUGCUACAAUGGCCGGUACAGAGAGCAGCCACUACGCGAGUAGGAGCGAAUCUUCAAAGCCGGUCUCAGUUCGGAUUGUAGGCUGCAACUCGCCUACAUG